GCGGGUGUAGUUCAAUGGUAGAACGCCAUGGUCCCCACCUGGUCGAUGCGAGUUCGAAUCUCGUCGCCCGCU
RNAcentral lists this transfer RNA (72 nucleotides) under hydrothermal vent metagenome. Its description in RNAcentral is "tRNA-Gly-CCC". It matches the Rfam family "tRNA". Rfam says of the family: Transfer RNA (tRNA) molecules are approximately 80 nucleotides in length. Their secondary structure includes four short double-helical elements and three loops (D, anti-codon, and T loops). The record is from RNAcentral.